GAUCAUGGCUCAGGAUGAACGCUGGCGGCGUGCUUAACACAUGCAAGUCGAACGGAGUUUUUAACGGAAGUUUCGGAUGGAAGUUAGAACUUAGUGGCGGACGGGUGAGUAACGCGUGGGUAACCUGCCUCAGUACAGGGGGAUAACAGUUAGAAAUGACUGCUAACACCGCAUAAUAUAGCGAAACCGCAUGAUUUUUGCUAUCAAAUAUUUAUAGGUAUGAGAUGGGCCCGCGUCUGAUUAGCUAGUUGGUGGGGUAAAAGCCUACCAAGGCGACGAUCAGUAGCCGGCUUGAGAGAGUGACCGGCCACAUUGGGACUGAGACACGGCCCAAACUCCUACGGGAGGCAGCAGUGGGGAAUAUUGGACAAUGGGGGAAACCCUGAUCCAGCGAACCGCCGCGCGAGUGAAGAAGUAUUUCGGUAUGUAAAGCUCUAUCAGCAGGGAAGAUAAUGACAGUACCUGACUAAGAAGCCCCGGCUAACUACGUGCCAGCCGCUGC
RNAcentral lists this ribosomal RNA (502 nucleotides) under uncultured bacterium. Its description in RNAcentral is "bacterial SSU rRNA". It matches the Rfam family "Bacterial small subunit ribosomal RNA", at positions 15 to 518 of the family's 1533-position model. The record is from RNAcentral.